UACGUAGGGGGCAAGCGUUGUCCGGAAUCAUUGGGCGUAAAGCGCGUGUAGGCGGCUCGGUAAGUCUGCUGUGAAAGUCCAGGGCUCAACCCUGAAAUGCCGGUGGAAACUGUCGGGCUAGAGUCCGGAAGAGGCGAGUGGAAUUCCUGGUGUAGCGGUGAAAUGCGCAGAUAUCAGGAGGAACACCAAUGGCGAAGGCAGCUCGCUGGGACGGUACUGACGCUGAGACGCGAAAGCGUGGGGAGCAAACAGG
This 253-nucleotide ribosomal RNA is filed under the name uncultured bacterium. Its description in RNAcentral is "partial 16S ribosomal RNA". It matches the Rfam family "Bacterial small subunit ribosomal RNA", at positions 524 to 776 of the family's 1533-position model. The record is from RNAcentral.